UGGGGAAUAUUGCACAAUGGGCGCAAGCCUGAUGCAGCCAUGCCGCGUGUAUGAAGAAGGCCUUCGGGUUGUAAAGUACUUUCAGCGAGGAGGAAGGCGUUGUGGUUAAUAACCGCAACGAUUGACGUUACUCGCAGAAGAAGCACCGGCUAACUCCGUGCCAGCAGCCGCGGUAAUACGGAGGGUGCAAGCGUUAAUCGGAAUUACUGGGCGUAAAGCGCACGCAGGCGGUCUGUCAAGUCGGAUGUGAAAUCCCCGGGCUCAACCUGGGAACUGCAUCCGAAACUGGCAGGCUAGAGUCUUGUAGAGGGGGGUAGAAUUCCAGGUGUAGCGGUGAAAUGCGUAGAGAUCUGGAGGAAUACCGGUGGCGAAGGCGGCCCCCUGGACAAAGACUGACGCUCAGAUGCGAAAGCGUGGGGAGCAAACA
This 427-nucleotide ribosomal RNA is filed under the name uncultured bacterium. RNAcentral describes it as "partial 16S ribosomal RNA". It matches the Rfam family "Bacterial small subunit ribosomal RNA", at positions 355 to 774 of the family's 1533-position model. The record is from RNAcentral.